Molecule: long non-coding RNA, 4994 nt
Organism: Corvus hawaiiensis (hawaiian crow)
Lineage: Eukaryota; Metazoa; Chordata; Aves; Passeriformes; Corvidae
Exons: 3
Source: RefSeq, a predicted model, not a curated record
GAGGGGCCGCCCUGGCUGCCCGGGCCGUGCUCGCCCGCGGUGGCGGUCGCCAAAGUUGAGCAGUGCCGUGAGGAGGCGGUGAACCGGGCCUGGCAUGGCGAUGUAGCUGAAAUCUCUCUCUGGUCUCCUUUCCGGAGCCGGUCUGUCACAAGCAGUCCUAAGCAGAACACAAGUGCCGAGAGUGGAGCUGUAGCAGAUGCCAUGAGAAUGGGCUAAAAACGGGCUAAGAAGACCGUAAAAGCAGUGAGGUUCAGUAUUAAUAACUGCUUCAGAUUUCAGACAUCCAUUUCAAGUUGCCCUUACCUGCAAGAAAACUGUUGAACAGCUGCCUUGCAUUGCUGAUUUGUAAUAUUUACAGCUAUACUGGUGAGAUCUGAUUUAUCAUGCUACGUUUUGUCAUAAAGAUCUCCAGAUGUCUUGGUAUUUUGACUGAAGAAAAACCCUAACUUUCUGUCUGCAGUCAUUGGAUUUAAUCCUGUGAUCCGUGUGACUCAAGAAUGCUUCUCACCCUGCCUUUCACCCCGCUGGGGAGUUCAGCACUACCACCUAGGAUGUGCCAAUGAGGAUACUCUUGGCUGUCCUGCCAGAAACAACAUUAGUUCCUGCUAAAAUAACUUUAUAUUCCAGGUGGCCCACCCAUCAGAGGAAAUAAUUUUGUUUAACGAAGGUGGAGAGGCUUUGCUCUUGUGUAAUAUCAGAUACAGAGAAAGAAAUGUGUGUUGAAUGUUAUCUACAUAUGAAAAAAAGGAGGGAGGUAAAAUAGAAGAAGGGGGUGUAGAGAAAAGAUUAACUGACAAUCAUAAUCUGAGAGAGAGAUUGCUUUGCCAAAUGUAUGUCUGAAAAUACUUGGAAAGUGGCCCGGGCCCCCAAGUUCUUGACAGCAGCUGGAGUGUUCCCAUACCUGUAUCAAUAGCUGAUUAAAUGAGAAGAGAACCUGUUUUGCACCCUAAAGGUUAUUCAAAACCUGUAAAGUAUACUCAUUUUGCUUAUUCUUAAAUUUUGUCAUUACACACUGGGAUUCAGGAGUGCAUCUUUCAGAGUUUUAGUGCUCUCAGUCUCAGGGCAUAUGCAGAAUCUGUAUCCUCUGGCUACUGCAUGGAACUGCCACCCUGCCUGAAGCUCACCUUGGAACUUUUUUGGACAGUUCAGUUCCAUUGCCCACAUUCAAAGAGGUUGUGCCCUAUUCCAGGUUUAAUGGUAGCUUAGUAGCAAUAAAUUUCAAUGCAGUACCUCGGAAAAAGGGAGAUGGGAAUCACACUGCCCGAAGGCCAGUUGUAGAUGCAUGUGUAGCAACUGAUUAACUUGAUUUUUAGACAGUGUGAACCUGCAUUGUGGCCUUCCUCUGUAGUGACCCCUUUGCAUCACAGAUUUUUUGGCAACAAAAUCAUCUCAUGUUUCACAGCUUCUAACAUUUUGUGUCUGUCAUUCCUUUUUUUAUUGUUACAGAAUACAAGAUGGGAGAUUUUUCUUAAAAUGAUAAUGAUAUAUUGUCUUUUAAAGAGUGAUAACAGUAAAUUUGAGAUCAAGCAAUCUCUAUAAAAGGCUCAGAACGUUCCUUGCAUCUCCAUAGUAUCUUUUUUCCUCUGAAUUUCACUUGCAUUGUAAUUCCAAUCUGCUUCAUUUUUAGACUCCUCUGAAACUCGAGAAUUCAUUGGUCUCAGGCAAGACCAGAAAUUAACAAAUGUCUAUAAUUUUGUAGCAGUUGCAAUUUUUUGCCAAUUUACUAAUUUUUUCAGAAAACUGACAUGCUUGUUAAGCAGCAGAGGUGCCAGAGUAGGGACAGCUUCCUAAUCCCCCUCACACUGUCACGGAAUGCUGAUAUAAAGGGAAAAUCUACCUGCUUACAAGGACAUGGCAGUAUUUUGAGAUAAAGAUCUUUUGAUUUCAUUCGUUCUGUCAGACAGAGAAGCAAAUUUCUCUUGCACAUUCAGAGCUUGGAGCAAACCACUCAUGGGAAUUUAAAAGAAGACAAGAUAUCCACACCACAGUAAACAGAAAGGCUGGCAACCCUGUGCUACCAGUUCUGUAAAAGUGAAAUGUUACUGGAAAACUCUGCAAACAUUAGUCACGUAAACAGAUCUUUAUACAUAGCCACCGGAUGCCCUUGGGAAGGUUUAUGCCAUCUGCCAGUCCUUGAGAGACUCCAGCUGGGAAUCAAACAGUAUUGGUCACUUGGCCAGGAAAAUGGGCUCAGGCCAGGUAAUCUGUUUGAUGGGCACCCCUGAUGUCUGCAGGAAUCUCGCAGGUCAAGAGGAGGUUGUGGGUGUUAGUUGUCAUUUGGGCAUUGCUUAGUUGUUCUGGCUUCUGCUUCCAAACACCUUGGCCUAUCCCCUUCCCACACCAUUCCUCAAUUCCACUAUUGAUUCUACUUCCAUUGCAUGGAUUCCCUUUCCCUUUAAAAGGCCUAGCUGCUGGUACCUCUGGUGCUUGGUUGUGGUUUGUCUGACUGUAAUGCCUAUUUCCAUGCGUAGUCCUACUUCAGCUCUUUGGCUUUUCUCUUUCUAGCUUGGUCCCAAGCACAGUGUUCCCCUGCAAAGUUCUCUCAUCCUGCUGGCAGAAAAAUGUGGACCAGAGAGUUAUGCAGAUUAUGCAGAAUUUGGAGGUUCUGGGAGAUGCCACAGGAGUUGUGCACAGAGAGGUGUUUGCUCACCUGUGUACACUGAUGCAUGAUGAUACAUUAGAGGGGUAGUCACAAGCAAAAGAAAAAAGGUAAAGGUCCUACCCUUACUUGAGAUGAUGCAGCAAGUGCAUUGUUGGGGGCAAUGCUGCAGAAUGUGCUUGGGCAGUACAGGAGAGACUGAACUUGCUGCUGUGCUGUCCCAGGGAACUGACAAGGCAGUUCCCGGUUUUGUGCCAGUGUCUCACAUGUUGAGCAAGCGCUCUGAGGAAAACACUUAACUUGAAAUCUCACAUGCCUACAAGCUCCUGUUCCAGUAAGUUUUUCUGUUUGCACAUCCUGGUUCAGCACUGGAACCUCUUCUUGGAAAAUACCCAGGGAGGUAAACAACCAUGCUUAGGAAAACUUGAUGGCUACUUCCUGUUGGCAGAAGCUAGCUCUUCUUUGGAGCAGUGCCAGCGUUUGAAAGGAAAAACCUUUUCUUAUUUCUUUGGCAUUCCCUAGGCUUUGAAAUUCUUUUAGAAGUCCAGAGCCCCUGAGAGUCCUGGAAAGAGUCCUUUCUCAUUUUGUAAUUUUGAAUUCGUUUCCUUAUCUUCUUCCAUUUGGGUGCCCUUUUGUAUGCAGAACCCUGUCUCCAGCUGUCAUGUGACCCUGUGUGAAAAGAGGAAAUUAUCAGGAAAUGUCAAGUUAGGAAUCAGUUCUGUCUCAGAAUAGGUUCAGCACGACCUAAAAUGUGUGUGUGGGGGGGAGGGGGGUGUAGUCAGAAUCAUCCAUCUCUUGCUUCCUACAUUUUUGGUUUGCUGACUCCUCAGAGGGCACAGGCUAGCAGCUGGUGUUCAGAGAGGGACAAGUCUAUUAUGCUUUCUUUCUGGUAGCCUCACUGAUUUGCUCUGUUAGUGCUGACUUUAAUGAUAACUCUUAUGUAAACAGACAGGGACAGCUAAAGCCCUUUACCUACUAAUUAAAUAGAUCCUAUACUAGUAGUUGAAUGUGGAAAAUGAGUGUUUUAAGGUGAUAAAUUAAAAGUGCCAGUCAGAUCUUGUUACUUAGGUGAGUCCUUAAUACAACAGAUAACCCAAGAUGGAAUAGAGUAAAUAGUUGCUUAACUCACCAUCGCAUGAACGAAUCCAUUGUUAAUAUAGGAAUUCCUUCAUUUUAGCCAGUAACAUUUUAAGAAUGUUUUUUGCUUUUGCUAGUCACAGAUGGUGAAAUCUGUUUUCUGGCUUUAGCAUAGAGUUCUUCCUAUUGCAAUUAGUAUUAGCAGCUGAUACAUCAUACACUUUAACCACGUGCUUCAAAUAUAUUCUGUGAUGUUUAUAUAUUGUUCAUUUUGUACUAUUGCUUGAAGUAGAGCUUCAUGAACAGCAACUUUUACCCUAUAUUUACUCCAGAAACACUAAUAACUAUGUUGAAUUAAAUAUAGAAGUGUCAAUAUCUAGGUUGUAUAUAAAUAUGAUUCUGUAAAAUAUGCAGAGUGUGUUAUUUAGGUAUUAUUUACAUUGGCUGCUUAUUCAAUAUCAUGAGUGAAGAAACUGCUAAGCACUGACAUUAUGAACACAUGAAAUUAACAGUAAUCUAGGAUUUAGUGCGACUCUAACUGAAAGUGAGUAGAUGUGAUACAGAGAAAUCUCAGGAACACAAGAGCACAGUGAAAGACAUUUCUAUGGAUGCAUUUGAGUGUCUUUCUUGCAGAAUGGAUACUGAGAAUUGUGGAAAAUAUGGCUCCAAAUUUUUUCCAAAUCCAUUCUGUUCCUGUCAGCCCUUGCAGAGAUUUUAGUCGAUCAAAAGGCAUAUAUCAAUAAUUUCCUAAGUUUGUUUCUUAGAAUUCUUUUUUCUUCUUUUAGUAACAUGAUCUGCUGUGCCUGCCUGGUGAGGGCCCUGAAGGAAAGCAUCAAGCGUGGCUUGCAACUGUCUUGCAACUCUUAUUUGAGCUUAUACUGUAUAUUGGGCAAUAGUUUGCAAAAAGAAAAGGCUGCAGUUAUCUAAAUAAGUGUAUUUUCAGUACAAUUUACAUAAUUCAGUUUUACAGACCUGAUUCAUUAUUAUUUUUUCCCUUCAGUAGACAAUUACAUGUACAGAGAGGUGAAGGAUUCCCAAAUUACUAUGUUUCCCCUUCUUACAGAUUUAAAAGACUACAUAUUGUUUAAAACACUGGAAAUCCUAACUAUUCGAACAUUAACUAAAAAUUUUGUUCGCAAAAAUUUUUUAUAAUUAAAGUUGUUGUGUCUAGUCAGUUGGUUAAGUUGCUUUGCUUCGAUGCUGGUUUACUUGGAUGAAUUGUGUUUCCAAACCUUAAAUAUCAAGAGGCAAAGCCACAGUUGCACGACAUUUUUUUCUUACUAAAAAUAUCCACUGACUUCUCUUUUUGGUCUUUAAU